AACGAACGCUGGCGGCAUGCCUAACACAUGCAAGUCGAACGAGACCUUCGGGUCUAGUGGCGUACGGGUGCGUAACGCGUGGGAACCUGCCCUUAGGUUCGGAAUAACUCCCCGAAAGGGGUGCUAAUACCGGAUAAUGUCUUCGGACCAAAGAUUUAUCGCCUUUGGAUGGGCCCGCGUUGGAUUAGCUAGUUGGUAGGGUAAAAGCCUACCAAGGCGACGAUCCAUAGCUGGUCUGAGAGGAUGAUCAGCCACACUGGGACUGAGACACGGCCCAGACUCCUACGGGAGGCAGCAGUGGGGAAUAUUGGACAAUGGGCGAAAGCCUGAUCCGGCAAUGCCGCGUGAGUGAUGAAGGCCUUAGGGUUGUAAAGCUCUUUUACCCGGGAUGAUAAUGACAGUACCGGGAGAAUAAGCUCCGGCUAACUCCGUG
Molecule: ribosomal RNA, 433 nt
Filed under: uncultured bacterium
Lineage: Bacteria
Description: partial 16S ribosomal RNA
Rfam family: Bacterial small subunit ribosomal RNA
Source: RNAcentral